RNAcentral lists this ribosomal RNA (498 nucleotides) under Gordonia sp. QAM_1_221. RNAcentral describes it as "bacterial SSU rRNA". It matches the Rfam family "Bacterial small subunit ribosomal RNA", at positions 369 to 877 of the family's 1533-position model. Lineage: Bacteria; Bacillati; Actinomycetota; Actinomycetes; Mycobacteriales; Gordoniaceae. The record is from RNAcentral.
CAAUGGGCGCAAGCCUGAUGCAGCGACGCCGCGUGAGGGAUGACGGCCUUCGGGUUGUAAACCUCUUUCACCAGGGACGAAGCGCAAGUGACGGUACCUGGAGAAGAAGCACCGGCCAACUACGUGCCAGCAGCCGCGGUAAUACGUAGGGUGCGAGCGUUGUCCGGAAUUACUGGGCGUAAAGAGCUCGUAGGCGGUUUGUCGCGUCGUCUGUGAAAUUCUGCAGCUUAACUGCAGGCGUGCAGGCGAUACGGGCAGACUUGAGUACUACAGGGGAGACUGGAAUUCCUGGUGUAGCGGUGAAAUGCGCAGAUAUCAGGAGGAACACCGGUGGCGAAGGCGGGUCUCUGGGUAGUAACUGACGCUGAGGAGCGAAAGCGUGGGUAGCGAACAGGAUUAGAUACCCUGGUAGUCCACGCCGUAAACGGUGGGUACUAGGUGUGGGGCUCAUUUCACGAGUUCCGUGCCGUAGCUAACGCAUUAAGUACCCCGCCUGGG